RNAcentral lists this ribosomal RNA (577 nucleotides) under Favolus roseus. RNAcentral's name for it is "eukaryotic LSU rRNA". It matches the Rfam family "Eukaryotic large subunit ribosomal RNA", at positions 142 to 704 of the family's 3401-position model. Lineage: Eukaryota; Fungi; Basidiomycota; Agaricomycetes; Polyporales; Polyporaceae. The record is from RNAcentral.
GUUGUAGUCUGGAGAAGUGCUUUCCGUGCCGGACCGUGUAUAAGUCUCUUGGAAUAGAGCGUCAUAGAGGGUGAGAAUCCCGUCUUUGACACGGACUGCCGGUGCUUUGUGAUGCGCUCUCAAAGAGUCGAGUUGUUUGGGAAUGCAGCUCAAAAUGGGUGGUAAAUUCCAUCUAAAGCUAAAUAUUGGCGAGAGACCGAUAGCGAACAAGUACCAUGAGGGAAAGAUGAAAAGCACUUUGGAAAGAGAGUUAAACAGUACGUGAAAUUGCUGAAAGGGAAACGCUUGAAGUCAGUCUCGUCGUGCAGAACUCAACCUAGCUUUUGCUUGGUGCACUUUCUGUAUGACGGGCCAGCAUCGAUUUUGACUGUCGGAAAAGGGCUGAAGGAAUGUGGCACCUCCGGGUGUGUUAUAGCCUUCGGUCGUAUACGGCGGUUGGGAUCGAGGAACGCAGCGCGCCGCAAGGUGGGGCUUCGGCCUACAUUCGCGCUUAGGAUGCUGGCGUAAUGGCUUUAAACGACCCGUCUUGAAACACGGACCAAGGAGUCUAACAUGCCUGCGAGUGUUUGGGUGGAAA